CAGGGUAUUCUGCGCACGUACAGGUACUGCGACAAUGUCUGGACUUUUGUCCUGAGAGGCGCGACGUUCAAGAACGAGGAGAUUGCAGAACCCCUUUCCAAGGUGGAGACUGUGGCCUGUGAUUCCAGUCUGCGUAAGAAGCCUCCCCAACAGUAA
This 156-nucleotide ribosomal RNA is filed under the name Triticum aestivum (bread wheat). RNAcentral's name for it is "partial small subunit ribosomal RNA". Lineage: Eukaryota; Viridiplantae; Streptophyta; Magnoliopsida; Poales; Poaceae. The record is from RNAcentral.